UGUGAAUGCCAAUCCCUAUGGAGCCAUUAUGCUCACAAAUAAUAAAGGAGACGAAUUCACCGUAAAUGGCCAAUGAGUAAAGCACUAUUGGGCUAAACCGCCAAAUAUCGAGCCCAUAAACUUAGGCCCCCUUCCAGAUAAUUAGAAAAUUUGAAUAUCGAGUCAAGCUAAAGGACUUAAAAUAAGCGCUGAAUGGGAGGGCAACCCAUUUUUAAUUAUAGCAUUUUUAGAAUUUUUAGGACUUAAAAAAAAUAUAUAU
Molecule: long non-coding RNA, 259 nt
Filed under: Brassica napus (rape)
Lineage: Eukaryota; Viridiplantae; Streptophyta; Magnoliopsida; Brassicales; Brassicaceae
Description: long non-coding RNA (BNAP_LNC024634)
Source: RNAcentral